CGCGUAGGCGGACCUUCAAGUCGGAUGUGAAAUCUUGCAGCUCAACUGCAAGCCUGCAUUCGAAACUGGCGGUCUUGAGUACAGUAGAGGAAAGCGGAAUUCCAGGUGUAGCGGUGAAAUGCGUAGAUAUCUGGAAGAACACCAGUAGCGAAGGCGGCUUUCUGGGCUGAUACUGACGCUGAAGCGCGAAGGCUUGGGUAGCAAACAGGAUUAGAUACCCUGGUAGUC
RNAcentral lists this ribosomal RNA (228 nucleotides) under uncultured bacterium. Its description in RNAcentral is "partial 16S ribosomal RNA". It matches the Rfam family "Bacterial small subunit ribosomal RNA", at positions 568 to 795 of the family's 1533-position model. The record is from RNAcentral.